This is a long non-coding RNA of Mytilus californianus (California mussel), 1207 nucleotides long. RefSeq lists it as uncharacterized. The transcript is spliced from 4 exons. Lineage: Eukaryota; Metazoa; Mollusca; Bivalvia; Mytilida; Mytilidae. The record is from RefSeq and is a predicted model, not a curated record.
UUUUAUAAAAUAUGUUUACAUAUGUUUGUAAACAUAUGAAAAACAUAUGAUUUUCAUAUGUUUUCAUAUGUUUUAAAGGACAUUAAAAAAAAAUGUUUUGAGAAAAUGUCAAAAUUUGUCAUUUAAUUAUCACAUACACUUUUUCAUUUAUUAUCUAUAUAGCGUAUUUCUCAAACAGGAAAGUUCACUUUCUACUCUUCCCACUAAAUCCCACAUGAUCAUGAUGAUGAAAGCAGGUCAGCCCUGUCAGUGUCACCCCCACAGCAGAGCUAUCUAAUUUUGAAUUGAACAGAAUGUAGAAUAAGUGAAUGGGUUAUAAAUAUUAAAUAAUAAUAUGAAUAAAUAUUCUUUAUUUAGUUUGUUCUUUAUUCUCAAUUCUUUUUUUUUUAUUAUUAAUAAUCCAAUUAUUCUCUAUGAUUCUUUAUUCUAUAUUUCUGCCUUUUUUUACUAUCUGUUCUUUAUUUUGCACUUUUUGUCAUUAUUUUCUAUUCUUAAACUCCCAUCUAGAUUCCAGACCCUCAAAUAUACGUAAAUGUACGAAAGCUUGCAUGGUACGUCGAACACGAAAACCCGGAAAUCUUUUCACCGUUACCGUUUUUUAUACUAUGACGCAAAAUCCAUGGACGCUCACGCGAUCAUCUGUUGCUGUCUUUUUAAAAGUUUUUAAGAAUGGACAGAGAUAGAUGAUACAAGGAACUUUGGUUUUUCAAACUGGUGAAUCAAAAAUUUAUUAUAAACAGAUAAAUUGAAAUGGGUGACUUGUCGAUUAACUGGAAGAAACCGGGGAACGAAACAUAGAAAAUUUAUGAAACGAAAGUCAACGCAACAAAAGUCAAAGUGUUUUUGUUUUGAUGGAUAAUUUUACGUACCCUAAAAGCGGAACGAAAGCAUUUUCAGUGAAAGUACAUUUUGUACAUGUACUUCAACAGAACAGAAUUCAUUUGAGGCCUUGCUUUCUAGAUUAUAUAAUGGAUUCAUAGAUUGUCAUAUUGAUUUAUGUGCAUAAAAGGAGCAGUAGUCUAUGAAUAAUUUUGUGAUGAGAGCUUAUUACCAUGGUUACCAAAUGAAAGGAAAGUGCAGUAUUAGAAUCACUGGUGUACAUGUAGAUGCGGAUGUCCGGCAAAAAGAACUGGUAUCAAAGAACUGAAAAGUAAAGAAACAGAACCAAAGAACGUUAAUUUUAGAUUAAUACAAUAUUGAACUGAAA